CAAAAACAUAGCUAUAUGGAUUAAUAUAUAGUGUUUUCUGCCCUCUGAAUUUUAAAUGGCCGCAGUACCCUGACUGUGCUAAGGUAGCAUAAUCACUUGGCUUAUAAUUGAAGUCUGGAAUGAAUGGGAUAAUGGGGGAUAGCUGUAUCACAAAUAGAAGUAAAAAUUACUUAAAAAGUGCAAAUGCUUUUGUUUAAAUAAUAGACGAGAAGACCCUAGAAAUUUUCAUAAACAUGAAGGUAUCAUUUUUGUUGGGGCAACAUUGGAACAGUGUAACUUCCACUAUGUACAUGACGAUUGUCUUUCGGUAGAUAAAUUACUCUAGGGAUAACAGCGUAAUCUUCUAAUGUUUGCGACCUCGAUGUUGGAUUAGGGAUAUAUAUUUUAGAAGACUAAUAUUAAAGCUCUGUUCGAGCU
This 417-nucleotide ribosomal RNA is filed under the name Trachiopsis strangulata. Its description in RNAcentral is "partial 16S ribosomal RNA". It matches the Rfam family "Bacterial large subunit ribosomal RNA", at positions 1808 to 2587 of the family's 2925-position model. Lineage: Eukaryota; Metazoa; Mollusca; Gastropoda; Stylommatophora; Camaenidae. The record is from RNAcentral.